CAGUUCAGAUUGCAGGCUGCAACUCGCCUGCAUGAAGUUGGAAUUGCUAGUAAUCGCGAAUCAGAAUGUCGCGGUGAAUACGUUCCCGGGCCUUGUACACACCGCCCGUCACACCAUGAGAGUCGAUAACACCCGAAGCCUGUGAGCUAACCUUUCAGGAGGCAGCAGUCGAAGGUGGGAUUGAUGACUGGGGUGAAGUCGUAACAAGGUACC
This 213-nucleotide ribosomal RNA is filed under the name uncultured bacterium. RNAcentral describes it as "partial 16S ribosomal RNA". It matches the Rfam family "Bacterial small subunit ribosomal RNA", at positions 1289 to 1500 of the family's 1533-position model. The record is from RNAcentral.